Molecule: small nuclear RNA, 109 nt
Filed under: Camelus dromedarius (Arabian camel)
Lineage: Eukaryota; Metazoa; Chordata; Mammalia; Artiodactyla; Camelidae
Source: RNAcentral
GUGCUUGCUUCAGAACAUAUUAGUAAAAUUGGAACACGAUACAGAAAGAUUAGCAUGGCCCAUGCAACAAGGAUGACAACCGCAAAUUCGUAAAGUGUUUCCAUAUUAA